This 434-nucleotide ribosomal RNA is filed under the name uncultured bacterium. Its description in RNAcentral is "partial 16S ribosomal RNA". It matches the Rfam family "Bacterial small subunit ribosomal RNA", at positions 30 to 506 of the family's 1533-position model. The record is from RNAcentral.
AGCGAACGCUGGCGGCAGGCUUAACACAUGCAAGUCGAGCGGGCACUUUCGGGUGUCAGCGGCGGACGGGUGGGUAACGCGUGGGAACGUGCCCACUGGUUCGGAAUAACUCAGGGAAACUUGAGCUAAUACCGGAUACGCCCUUUUGGGCAAAGGCUUGCUGCCGGAGGAUCGGCCCGCGUCUGAUUAGCUAGUUGGUGAGGUAACGGGUCACCAGGGCGACGAUCAGUAGCUGGUCUGAGAGGAUGGUCAGCACCACUGGGACUGGGACACGGCCCGAACUCUUGCGGAAGGGAGCAGUGGGGAAUAAUGGAUGAUGGGCGCAAGCCUGAGGCAGCCAGGCCGCGAGAGUGAUGAAGGCCUUAGGGUUGUAAAGCGCUUUUAACCGGGACGAUAAUGACGGUACCGGAGGAAUAAGCCCCGGCUAACAUCGU